GGUGAACGCUGGCGGUAGGCCUAACACAUGCAAGUCGAACGGCAGCACAGUAAGAGCUUGCUCUUACGGGUGGCGAGUGGCGGACGGGUGAGGAAUACAUCGGAAUCUACUUUUUCGUGGGGGAUAACGUAGGGACACUUACGCUAAUACCGCAUACGACCUACGGGUGAAAGCAGGGGAUCUUCGGACCUUGCGCGAUUGAAUGAGCCGAUGUCGGAUUAGCUAGUUGGCGGGGUAAAGGCCCACCAAGGCGACGAUCCGUAGCUGGUCUGAGAGGAUGAUCAGCCACACUGGAACUGAGACACGGUCCAGACUCCUACGGGAGGCAGCAGUGGGGAAUAUUGGACAAUGGGCGCAAGCCUGAUCCAGCCAUACCGCGUGGGUGAAGAAGGCCUUCGGGUUGUAAAGCCCUUUUGUUGGGAAAGAAAAGCAGCAGGUUAAUACCCCGCUGUUCUGACGGUACCCAAAGAAUAAGCACCGGCUAACUUCGUG
Molecule: ribosomal RNA, 492 nt
Filed under: uncultured bacterium
Lineage: Bacteria
Description: partial 16S ribosomal RNA
Rfam family: Bacterial small subunit ribosomal RNA
Source: RNAcentral